AGAGGAGAAUCUUAGUCCCGGCUCAGAGUGAAGCCUCCUCUUUAGCACAGGAUCUUUGUCCCAGCCUCUUCCUCAGUAGAAUGGCAGGCAGCGUGUGGAGGUCAAUGUUGUCCCAGGUGGUGGUGGGGGCAGUCAGGGGACCUGCUCUGUCCUCCGCUUCCUUUUCCAGAGGGAUGCAGACAGUCACGCUGAUUCCUGGAGACGGCAUCGGACCGGAGAUCUCCGCUGCGGUCAUGAAGAUCUUUGAGGCUGCAAAGGCUCCCAUCCGAUGGGAGGAGAGAAAUGUAACGGCCAUAAAGGGACCCGGCGGGAGGUGGAUGAUCCCACCUGACGCUAAAGAGUCGAUGGACAAGAGCAAGAUCGGACUGAAAGGACCCCUGAAGACGCCCAUCGCUGCAGGUCACCCCUCCAUGAACCUGCUGCUGAGGAAGACCUUUGACCUCUAUGCUAACGUGCGACCCUGCGUGUCCAUCGAGGGCUACAAGACGCCGUACACUGACGUCAACCUGGUCACCAUCCGAGAGAACACGGAGGGCGAGUACAGCGGCAUCGAACACGUGAUCGUCGACGGAGUCGUUCAAAGCAUCAAACUGAUUACUGAGAAUGCCAGCAGACGCAUCGCCGAGUACGCCUUCGAGUACGCCAGGAACAACCAGAGAAGCAGCGUGACGGCCGUCCACAAAGCCAACAUCAUGCGAAUGUCAGACGGUCUGUUUCUGAGAAAAUGUCGUGAGGUGGCUGAGAACUUCAAAGACAUCAAGUUUACUGAGAUGUAUCUGGACACCGUUUGUCUCAAUAUGGUUCAGGAUCCAACCCAGUUUGAUGUGCUGGUCAUGCCCAACCUGUACGGAGACAUUCUCAGCGACCUGUGUGCCGGUCUGAUCGGAGGACUCGGAGUCACUCCCAGUGGGAACAUCGGAGCAAACGGAGUCGCAAUCUUUGAAUCGGUUCACGGCACCGCCCCCGACAUCGCCGGCAUGGACCUGGCCAACCCCACCGCCCUGCUGCUCAGCGCCGUCAUGAUGCUGCGUCACAUGGGUCUCCACGACUGCGGCAACAAGAUCCAGGCGGCCUGUUUUGACACCAUCAGAGACAGGAAGGUGCUGACAAAGGACCUGGGAGGAAACUCCAAGUGUUCAGAGUUUACAGCCGAAAUCUGCCGUCGCAUCCAGGAUCUGGACUGAAACUGCAGUCGUGGAGCUGCUGUGGGAGCCUCCCCCGCUGACCGGUUUGGGAAACGGUUGGCCAGGCUGAGCGGCAGUUUCUGGUUUUCUUCCUGCUGUUUGAUAUCAGAGUUUUUGCUGUACAGAGAUGAUGUCAGUGGAGGGGGCGGAGCUUCUGCAGCAGCCAACAUGAUCAAACAUAUGCACAACUGUCAUGUGACCAGGUUGGAAAAAACACAAGUCCUGACUGGAGAAGCGUUUUCACAUCCGGUCGAACAAAAGGAAGAGCUCUACAGGAAGUGAUGCGGCUCGCAGACUGGACAGUUCCUGCAUGUGGGCAUGUGGGGACGUCCUCACUAACGUCUCUGACUGUCCAGAUGAAUCUCACUGAUAGAGCAGGUCAGAGGUCAAAGCUUCUGUCUGGCCUUAUGUCUGAAUAAAACUAAAAUCAACCGAAUCGUUUUCUUCACUCGUUU
This is an RNA transcript of Scatophagus argus, 1639 nucleotides long. It is a transcript of the gene named isocitrate dehydrogenase [NAD] subunit alpha, mitochondrial-like, with no coding region annotated. The transcript is spliced from 12 exons. Lineage: Eukaryota; Metazoa; Chordata; Actinopteri; Scatophagidae. The record is from RefSeq and is a predicted model, not a curated record.